Molecule: non-coding RNA, 2262 nt
Organism: Pimephales promelas (fathead minnow)
Lineage: Eukaryota; Metazoa; Chordata; Actinopteri; Cypriniformes; Leuciscidae
Source: RefSeq, a predicted model, not a curated record
CCUACCUGUCCGACUUCAAAAUGCUCGGACUCUCAACUCUCAACCGUUUACUGAAGCAGUCUGAUGCUGCUGUUGCUGCUGCUGCUGAUCUGCCAAGUGAGAUCCCAUGAGCAUGAGAUCCUGUAAUCUAGAGUGACCCUUGCUUGUCAGGUGUUUGUUGGUAUAUAGGAUCUGCGGGACCAGCUAGAGAAGAGCAAGCAGAACUGGAAGAUCCAGGUAGAAACCAAGAGCAACCAGCAUACUCUGGAGCUCAAAGAGGUUUUAGAGAAGUUACAAAAGACUGAGUUUAGGAUCAGCGAAAUGGAUAAGUCCCAUGAAGAGCAAAAAAAAAAAAAAAAAUGCCACCCUACUUGUUAAAGAGUUGGAGCUGGCUGAGAAGAUGAUGGUCGAUUAUGAAACCCUGCAUAAGCGAGAAGCUGAGGGUCAGUGAGAACUGACUGCAAUCUGGAGGCAGAUCACAACACCCAGGAUGUUAGGAAGUCAGGAAGAGAAGAUUAAACUAAAAAAGAAUAUGGAAAAAACUCUGGAGAAACUCACAAAAAGGGAAAAAGAAGUCUCCACUUUAACGACCCAAGUAGACACCCUAAAGACCCAAAUAAUUGCCUUGGAGGAAAAGGUUUGUUUGGGAGAGAAUGAGGCAGAAGGAUUCUUAAGGGAGAAGACAUGUUGAGGAGAAGAAAUCCAAUGAUGCAUCAGGCCAGCUGGUGAUUAUUAGCCAGGAGUUUCUGAAGAAAGAGAGGAGCCUAAGUGAGCUUUAUGUUUUAUUGCUGGAAUCUCCACGCCACUCUGCAUGAGCGGAGUGGAGGAUGAAGGAACAGAAACUGCAGGAUGACAUUAAAACCCUGAGAGAAACACUUGCUCCUGAGUCGGAAAAGGUUGUCUCCAUACCACCGCCAAUACUCUAUGAUGGAUCCAUCUGCUCCAGACACAGAGGUGGCCCGUCUAUGUUAAAGGCUGCUGAGCACAGAAGAUGCCCUGAGGAACGCUCUGGAAUACAACCAACACGUGGACCAGCUAGUGCAGGCCAUGUGUACCCGCCCAGACAAGAACCAGGCACGCUAGUGCAAAUUAUGCAAUUGGAAUUCAUCAAGACACUUCCUUCACACAAGAGAAAGGAAAUAGAUGAGGACUAAACAGUUAUUGGAUGUUUAAGGAAGAAUGAAGGUGUAAUGGGGAAAAAGACGGCAAGUUGAUGCCUAGACUUUUGGACUAAUGCUUCACUGGACAUCUUAUUUUUUUCCGUUUACAGUUAACACCAAAACAACAACUUUAUAAAUGAACAAACAGAAGCCACAAUUUGAAAAACAUCUAAAAUGUUCUGAGAUGCUAUAAAAGACCUAAUGGAAUUGGUUUAAAAGUCAAUGGUAGAACAUGGGCAAACUGACACACCGAUCCUGUAGACUACCUCUGAGAUGGACAAUGAUAUCUGACUUAACAAACGAGAGUGUUGGUCAGGAAAACGAACAAUACCCUGCUAUACUCCCAGUUGGUUGUAACCAGUUGCAGUUUAGAAAACAUUUUUUGGCAUCAGUUUACACCUUUUAAUUUAUUUGCCAUUUAUGCUUUUCACCUUUUUUAAAAUGAUAAACUGGCCAACUCUCAGCAUAAGGUUUGAAGGAUGGCAGAAUACAAUUCAGUUGUACUUUUUCAACUUUCUUGUAUUUCUCUCUGUGCUGUUUUAACAUCUCCAGGUUUAUUUUCCUCUCUCUGUGCCCCUGGUUCAUAAGCAUUUACUGUAAUUCCAAGCACAGGAACUAACUAACUAACUCUAACUGUCAUUAACUCUCAAAAGUUCAGCCAUGCCGCCAUCUUUUAACUCAUCUAGCUCAGUUCUCAGAAGAUAUUACUAAGGCAGCUCAGCAGGGACACUCAAUAAGCUCAACGAGUCACAUUUGUCUCAUCCUCUCAUGUUAGGUGAGGGGAGACACUGAGUUUUGCCAGCUUUUCACUCAAGCUCAUCCAUUUUUGGCUGCCAUGUAGACAGGCUGUUGAGGGUGGUGUUUACCUUGUGACUACUGGUGACAACUCCCACUUCUCAAUCAGUCUUUUUCACCACUCAUCCAGAAUGCCUGCUGCUCAUCUGGGUCACUAAGAAGGGGACAAUGUUGCUAAGAGGGCUCUAUCGGUCAGGGAGUCACUCCACCGAACAUCAAUACCAGCGGUGCCUCCAAAACUGUAAUACUCCUGUAAAGGAUAUAAAGGGAUACUUCACCUCUGGAAAGAUGAAUGUGUAUUUAAAAUGGGUCAUUUAUGUAAAAGAAA